GAACAGGCCCCAAUUCGGGGGCCACCAAAAAAAAAAAAGAAAUUUUUU
Astyanax mexicanus (Mexican tetra) is the source of this 48-nucleotide non-coding RNA. The record is from Rfam. NCBI's taxonomy places the organism in Eukaryota, Metazoa, Chordata, Actinopteri, Characiformes, Acestrorhamphidae.